This 23-nucleotide small nuclear RNA is filed under the name Arabidopsis thaliana (thale cress). RNAcentral describes it as "snRNA_10474". Lineage: Eukaryota; Viridiplantae; Streptophyta; Magnoliopsida; Brassicales; Brassicaceae. The record is from RNAcentral.
CUGACACCUCAGCUUUUUCAGUU